AUGGUUCGUGGGACGUCCUGCCGGUGGUGGCGAGCCGAAAGCGUGCGGCCGCCGUGGUUAGCCCACGUGCGGUUCCUGCGCGCCGUAGGCGGACCCCGAUGAAAUCCUACCGCGGUGCUCUUCAUCGAGUGUCGAGGUGGGCCGGCACGUUUACUUUGAACAAAUUAGAGUGCUUAAAGCAGGCCGGCUGCGCCUGAAUACUGUGUGCAUGGAAUAAUGGAAUAGGACCUCGGUUCUAUUUUGUUGGUUUUCGGAACCCGAGGUAAUGAUUAAUAGGGACAGGCGGGGGCAUUCGUAUUGCGACGUUAGAGGUGAAAUUCUUGGAUCGUCGCAAGACGGACCGAAGCGAAAGCAUUUGCCAAGUAUGUUUUCAUUAAUCAAGAACGAAAGUUAGAGGUUCGAAGGCGAUCAGAUACCGCCCUAGUUCUAACCAUAAACGAUGCCAGCUAGCGAUCCGCCGAAGUUCCUCCGAUGACUCGGCGGGCAGCUCCCGGAAACCAAAGCUUUUGGGUUCCGGGGGAAGUAUGGUUGCAAAGCUGAACUUAAAGGAAUUGACGGAAGG
This 562-nucleotide ribosomal RNA is filed under the name Tettigonia caudata. Its description in RNAcentral is "SSU rRNA". It matches the Rfam family "Eukaryotic small subunit ribosomal RNA", at positions 717 to 1163 of the family's 1831-position model. The record is from RNAcentral. Lineage: Eukaryota; Metazoa; Arthropoda; Insecta; Orthoptera; Tettigoniidae.